GUACGCUCGCAAGAGUCAAACUCAAAGGAAUUGACGGGGACCCGCACAAGUAGCGGAGCAUGUGGUUUAAUUCGAAGCAACGCGAAGAUCAUUACCUAAGCUUGACAUCCCAAUGACAUCUCCUUAAUCGGAGAGUUCCCUUCGGGGACAUUGGUGACAGGUGGUGCAUGGUUGUCGUCAGCUCGUGUCGUGAGAUGUUGGGUUAAGUCCCGCAACG
Molecule: ribosomal RNA, 217 nt
Filed under: Clostridioides difficile
Lineage: Bacteria; Bacillati; Bacillota; Clostridia; Peptostreptococcales; Peptostreptococcaceae
Description: partial 16S ribosomal RNA
Rfam family: Bacterial small subunit ribosomal RNA
Source: RNAcentral